RNAcentral lists this ribosomal RNA (468 nucleotides) under uncultured bacterium. RNAcentral describes it as "partial 16S ribosomal RNA". It matches the Rfam family "Bacterial small subunit ribosomal RNA", at positions 28 to 507 of the family's 1533-position model. The record is from RNAcentral.
GACGAACGCUGGCGGCGUGCUUAACACAUGCAAGUCGAACGGAAAGGCCCUGCUUUUGUGGGGUGCUCGAGUGGCGAACGGGUGAGUAACACGUGAGUAACCUGCCCUUGACUUUGGGAUAACUUCAGGAAACUGGGGCUAAUACCGGAUAGGAGCUCCUGCUGCAUGGUGGGGGUUGGAAAGUUUCGGCGGUUGGGGAUGGACUCGCGGCUUAUCAGCUUGUUGGUGGGGUAGUGGCUUACCAAGGCUUUGACGGGUAGCCGGCCUGAGAGGGUGACCGGCCACAUUGGGACUGAGAUACGGCCCAGACUCCUACGGGAGGCAGCAGUGGGGAAUAUUGCACAAUGAGCGGAAGCGUGAUGCAGCAACGCCGCGUGCGGGAUGACGGCCUUCGGGUUGUAAACCGCUUUCGCCUGUGACGAAGCGUGAGUGACGGUAAUGGGUAAAGAAGCACCGGCUAACUACGUG